This 475-nucleotide ribosomal RNA is filed under the name uncultured soil bacterium. RNAcentral's name for it is "bacterial SSU rRNA". It matches the Rfam family "Bacterial small subunit ribosomal RNA", at positions 26 to 518 of the family's 1533-position model. The record is from RNAcentral.
AGGACGAACGCUGGCGGCGUGCUUAACACAUGCAAGUCGAGCGGUAAGGCCCUUUCGGGGGUACACGAGCGGCGAACGGGUGAGUAACACGUGAGCAAUCUGCCCUUCACUUCGGGAUAAGCCUCGGAAACGGGAUCUAAUACCGGAUAUGACCGCGCUACGCAUGUGGUGUGGUGGAAAGUUCUGGCGGUGGAGGAUGAGCUCGCGGCCUAUCAGCUUGUUGGUGGGGUAAUGGCCUACCAAGGCUUCGACGGGUAGCCGGCCUGAGAGGGUGACCGGCCACACUGGGACUGAGACACGGCCCAGACUCCUACGGGAGGCAGCAGUGGGGAAUAUUGGACAAUGGGCGAAAGCCUGAUCCAGCAACGCCGCGUGAGGAUGACGGCCUUCGGGUUGUAAACCUCUUUCAGCGCCGACGAAGCGAGAGUGACGGUAGGCGCAGAAGAAGCACCGGCCAACACGUGCCAGCAGCCGC